This is a long non-coding RNA of Rhopalosiphum padi (bird cherry-oat aphid), 389 nucleotides long. RefSeq lists it as uncharacterized. Lineage: Eukaryota; Metazoa; Arthropoda; Insecta; Hemiptera; Aphididae. The transcript has 3 exons. The record is from RefSeq and is a predicted model, not a curated record.
AGUAUUUCGGCUGUAACGUGUAACGCGACGUUACUACAUACUGUCUGUCUGAGUCGUGGUCGUGGCGUGAAAUGUGAAUGGCGGGCGGGAGGGCAGGGCAACGUACUGUGGAGACCGAGCGAAAAUACGGUAUUGUUGCUGUAAGUUUAUUAUUAACAUCAUCAUCCAAUGUAAACAAAACCAUAAAUGAGAGAAACAAACUAAUAGCUGACAGAAAAUGCCAAAUAUCGUGGUUAUCAUAGAAAUCCAUAAAGAGAUAAAAAUUAAAAAUACUUACAGUCCAUGAACUUGAUUUAUGCACAUAAAAAUACAAUGAGGCAGACCAAAAUAUCAUAGCCAACAAAAUAUAUAGUAAUGGCCAAAAAUGUAAUUUUUCCUUUGAUAUUAAC